RNAcentral lists this unclassified non-coding RNA (237 nucleotides) under Hevea brasiliensis (rubber tree). The record is from RNAcentral. Lineage: Eukaryota; Viridiplantae; Streptophyta; Magnoliopsida; Malpighiales; Euphorbiaceae.
GAGGGCAUCCGGCUACCUGCUGAGGUAUUUAAACUCAUCCAAAUCUGUAGUUUGACUUUCUUCUGGCUCUUAUUUUUUAUCCGUGCCGUAGAUUGCAUAUUUUUUCCUACGUGUUCCAUCUAUUAUUCUUGCCAUAAUUACACCUGAAUCAAGUACUGUCACAUCUUUGUUUGCCGUAUAAGUAAAAUUAUUUGUUAGCAACUUUUACUGGGCAGAGACAAAUUGGAUUUUGGAAGC